Molecule: ribosomal RNA, 409 nt
Filed under: uncultured bacterium
Lineage: Bacteria
Description: bacterial SSU rRNA
Rfam family: Bacterial small subunit ribosomal RNA
Source: RNAcentral
UGGGGAAUUUUACGCAAUGGGGGAAACCCUGACGUAGCGACACCUCGUGAGCGAAGAAGCCCUUUGGGGUGUAAAGCUCUGUCAGCUGGAACGAAAAUACAUAUGACGGUACCAGCAGAGGAAGCAUCGGCUAACUACGUGCCAGCAGCCGCGGUAAGACGUAGGAUGCGAGCGUUGUCCGGAUUUAUUGGGCGUAAAGAGUUCGUAGGUGGUUUGUUAAGUCUGAUGUUAAAGAUUGGGGCUCAACCCUGAAACUGCAUUGGAUACUGGCAGACUUGAGUGUGGUAGAGGCUAGUGGAAUUCCCAGUGUAGCGGUGAAAUGCGUAGAUAUUGGGAAGAACACCGGUGGCGUAGGCGACUAGCUGGGCCAUAACUGACACUGAGGAACGAAAGCCAGGGUAGCGAAUGG